Molecule: ribosomal RNA, 260 nt
Filed under: uncultured bacterium
Lineage: Bacteria
Description: partial 16S ribosomal RNA
Rfam family: Bacterial small subunit ribosomal RNA
Source: RNAcentral
GACAGAGGAUGCAAGCGUUAUCCGGAAUGAUUGGGCGUAAAGCGUCUGUAGGUGGUUUGACAAGUCUUUUGUCAAAGAUCAGGGCUUAACCCUGGGCCGGCAAGAGAAACUAUCAGACUAGAGUUCGGUAGGGGCAGAGGGAAUUCCCGGUGGAGCGGUGAAAUGCGUAGAGAUCGGGAAGAACGCCAAGGGCGAAGGCACUCUGCUAGGCCUGAUUUCGCGACUGACACUCAGGGACGAGAGCCAGGGGAGCGAAUGGG